RNAcentral lists this ribosomal RNA (433 nucleotides) under uncultured bacterium. RNAcentral's name for it is "partial 16S ribosomal RNA". It matches the Rfam family "Bacterial small subunit ribosomal RNA", at positions 29 to 506 of the family's 1533-position model. The record is from RNAcentral.
AGCGAACGCUGGCGGCAGGCCUAACACAUGCAAGUCGAACGAACCUUUCGGGGUUAGUGGCGGACGGGUGAGUAACACGUGGGAACGUGCCUUUAGGUUCGGAAUAACUCAGGGAAACUUGUGCUAAUACCGAAUGUGCCCUUCGGGGGAAAGAUUUAUCGCCUUUAGAGCGGCCCGCGUCUGAUUAGCUAGUUGGUUGAGGUAAUGGCUCACCAAGGCGACGAUCAGUAGCUGGUCUGAGAGGAUGAUCAGCCACAUUGGGACUGAGACACGGCCCAAACUCCUACGGGAGGCAGCAGUGGGGAAUCUUGCGCAAUGGGCGAAAGCCUGACGCAGCCAGGCCGCGUGAAUGAUGAAGGUCUUAGGAUUGUAAAAUUCUUUCACCGGGGACGAUAAUGACGGUACCCGGAGAAGAAGCCCCGGCUAACUGCGU